RNAcentral lists this ribosomal RNA (465 nucleotides) under uncultured bacterium. Its description in RNAcentral is "partial 16S ribosomal RNA". It matches the Rfam family "Bacterial small subunit ribosomal RNA", at positions 28 to 507 of the family's 1533-position model. The record is from RNAcentral.
GACGAACGCUGGCGGCGUGCUUAACACAUGCAAGUCGAACGGAAAGGCCCCUUUGGUGGUCCUCUAGUGGCGGCCGGGUGCGUAACACUUGCGUAACCUUCCCUUUACUUCUGGAUAACUUCAAGAAACUGGGGCUAAUACCGGUAAGGAAUCCUUUCUUCAUGGUGGGGGUUCGAAAGCUUCGGCGGGUUUGGAUGGGCUGGCGGCUUAUCAGCUUGUUGGUUGGGUAGUGGCUUACCGAGGCUUUGACGGGUAGCCGGCCUGAGAGGGCGACCGGCGACAUUGGGACUGAGAGAAGGCCGAGACGCGUAAGGGAGGCAGAAGUGGGGAAGAUUGAACAAGGGACGGAAGGCUGAUGCAGAAGGGCCGCGUGUGGGAAGACGGUCUUCGGGUGGAAAACCGCUUUCAGAAGGAGCGAAGCUUGUGGUGACGGUACCUGAAGAAGAAGCACCGGCUAACUACGUG